CGGCCUUGACAUACUAAGAACUUUCCAGAGAUGGAUUGGUGCCCUUGGGAACUUAGAUACAGGUGCUGCAUGGCUGUCGUCAGCUCGUGUCGUGAGAUGUUGGGUUAAGUCCCGCAACGAGCGCAACCCUUUUCCUUAUUUGCCAGCGGGUCAUGCCGGGAACUUUAAGGAUACUGCCAGUGACAAACUGGAGGAAGGCGGGGACGACGUCAAGUCAUCAUGGCCCUUACGGCCAGGGCUACACACGUGCUACAAUGGUCGGUACAAAGGGUUGCUACCUCGCGAGAGGAUGCUAAUCUCAAAAAGCCGAUCGUAGUCCGGAUCGCAGUCUGCAACUCGACUGCGUGAAGUCGGAAUCGCUAGUAAUCGCGGAUCAGAAUGCCGCGGUGAAUACGUUCCCGGGCCUUGUACACACCGCCCGUCACACCAUGGGAGUUUGUUGCACCAGAAGUAGGUAGUCUAACCGCAAGGAGGACGCUUACCACGGUGUGGCCGAUGACUGGGGUGAAGUCGUAACAAGGUAAGCGUAGAUGA
RNAcentral lists this ribosomal RNA (534 nucleotides) under uncultured bacterium. Its description in RNAcentral is "bacterial SSU rRNA". It matches the Rfam family "Bacterial small subunit ribosomal RNA", at positions 976 to 1509 of the family's 1533-position model. The record is from RNAcentral.